This 30-nucleotide small RNA is filed under the name Bombyx mori (domestic silkworm). RNAcentral describes it as "ovarian small RNA-495". The record is from RNAcentral. Lineage: Eukaryota; Metazoa; Arthropoda; Insecta; Lepidoptera; Bombycidae.
GCGCAUUUGUAUGGUCCCUCUUUGGGCCCC